GACGAACGCUGGCGGCGUGCUUAACACAUGCAAGUCGAACGGAAAGGCCCUGCUUUUGUGGGGUGCUCGAGUGGCGAACGGGUGAGUAACACGUGAGUAACCUGCCCUUGACUUUGGGAUAACUUCAGGAAACUGGGGCUAAUACCGGAUAGGAGCUCCUGCUGCAUGGUGUGGGUUGGAAAGUUUCGGCGGUUGGGGAUGGACUCGCGGCUUACCAGCUUGUUGGUGGGGUAGUGGCUUACCAAGGCUUUGACGGGUAGCCGGCCUGAGAGGGUGACCGGCCACAUUGGGACUGAGAUACGGCCCAGACUCCUACGGGAGGCAGCAGUGGGGAAUAUUGCACAAUGGGCGGAAGCCUGAUGCAGCAACGCCGCGUGCGGGAUGACGGCCUUCGGGUUGUAAACCGCUUUCGCCUGUGACGAAGCGGGAGUGACGGUAAUGGGUAAAGAAGCACCGGCUAACUACGUG
RNAcentral lists this ribosomal RNA (468 nucleotides) under uncultured bacterium. RNAcentral describes it as "partial 16S ribosomal RNA". It matches the Rfam family "Bacterial small subunit ribosomal RNA", at positions 28 to 507 of the family's 1533-position model. The record is from RNAcentral.